CGCAAAGAGGUUAGUGUUAAGAAACGCUAGGUUGGUAUGAUCGCUAGUUACUACAAGCUAAGUUGGUACGACUUCUAACGACGCUCUUUUGUCUUAGAAGUCGACCACGUGUUAAUUGACCAAGUGUAUUCUGUGUGUUAAGACGUGUUGAACGAGAAGGAGAAAUAUAUGGAGAAAAUCU
This is a long non-coding RNA of Bombus impatiens (common eastern bumble bee), 181 nucleotides long. RefSeq lists it as uncharacterized. The record is from RefSeq and is a predicted model, not a curated record. The transcript is spliced from 3 exons. NCBI's taxonomy places the organism in Eukaryota, Metazoa, Arthropoda, Insecta, Hymenoptera, Apidae.